Molecule: ribosomal RNA, 218 nt
Filed under: Pseudomonas helleri
Lineage: Bacteria; Pseudomonadati; Pseudomonadota; Gammaproteobacteria; Pseudomonadales; Pseudomonadaceae
Description: partial 23S ribosomal RNA
Rfam family: Bacterial large subunit ribosomal RNA
Source: RNAcentral
GGUUGUCCAAGUUUAAGGUGGUAGGCUGGAAUCUUAGGUAAAUCCGGGAUUCUAAGGCCGAGAGCUGAUGACGAGUUGUCUUUUAGACAACGAAGUGGUUGAUGCCAUGCUUCCAAGAAAAGCUUCUAAGCUUCAGAUAACCAGGAACCGUACCCCAAACCGACACAGGUGGUUGGGUAGAGAAUACCAAGGCGCUUGAGAGAACUCGGGUGAAGGAA